ACGGAGGGUGCAAGCGUUAUCCGGAUUUAUUGGGUUUAAAGGGUGCGUAGGCGGUUAUAUAAGUCAGCGGUGAAAUUUUUCAGCUUAACCGGAAACAUGCCGUUGAAACUGUAUAGCUUGAAUAGGGUUGCUGAGAGUGGAAUGUGUAGUGGAGAGGUGAAAUGCGUAGAAAUUACGCAGAAUAGCGAUUGCGAAGGCAACGCACAAAGCCAUUAUUGACGCUGAGGCGCGAAAGUGUGGGGAUCAAACAG
RNAcentral lists this ribosomal RNA (251 nucleotides) under uncultured prokaryote. RNAcentral's name for it is "partial 16S rRNA". It matches the Rfam family "Bacterial small subunit ribosomal RNA", at positions 525 to 775 of the family's 1533-position model. The record is from RNAcentral.